RNAcentral lists this ribosomal RNA (269 nucleotides) under uncultured prokaryote. Its description in RNAcentral is "partial 16S ribosomal RNA". It matches the Rfam family "Bacterial small subunit ribosomal RNA", at positions 524 to 792 of the family's 1533-position model. The record is from RNAcentral.
AACGUAGGACGCAAGCGUUAUCCGGAAUUACUGGGCGUAAAGCGCGUGUAGGCGGAUUGCCAAGUCGGGCAUGAAAGCUCCUGGCUAAACUGGGAGAGGUUGUUCGAAACUGGCAGUCUGGAGUGUGACAGAGGAGCGUGGAAUUCCGCAUGUAGUGGUGAAAUGCGUAGAUAUGCGGAGGAACACCAGUGGCGAAGGCGGCGCUCUGGGUCACAACUGACGCUAAGACGCGAAAGCAUGGGUAGCGAACGGGAUUAGAUACCCCCGUA